This 397-nucleotide ribosomal RNA is filed under the name uncultured bacterium. RNAcentral's name for it is "bacterial SSU rRNA". It matches the Rfam family "Bacterial small subunit ribosomal RNA", at positions 362 to 776 of the family's 1533-position model. The record is from RNAcentral.
UAUUGCACAAUGGGGGAAACCCUGAUGCAGCAACGCCGCGUGAGUGAAGAAGUAUUUCGGUAUGUAAAGCUCUAUCAGCAGGGAAGAAAAUGACGGUACCUGAGUAAGAAGCCCCGGCUAACUACGUGCCAGCAGCCGCGGUAAUACGUAGGGGGCAAGCGUUAUCCGGAUUUACUGGGUGUAAAGGGAGCGUAGACGGCGAUACAAGUCUGAAGUGAAAGCCCGGGGCUCAACCCCGGGACUGCUUUGGAAACUAUGUGACUGGAGUGCAGGAGAGGUGAGCGGAAUUCCUAGUGUAGCGGUGAAAUGCGUAGAUAUUAGGAGGAACACCAGUGGCGAAGGCGGCUUACUGGACUGUAACUGACGUUGAGGCUCGAAAGCGUGGGGAGCAAACAGG